GACGAACGCUGGCGGCGUGCCUAAUACAUGCAAGUCGAACGCAUUUUCUUUCACCGUAGCUUGCUACACCGACAGAAAAUGAGUGGCGAACGGGUGAGUAACACGUGGGUAACCUGCCCAUCAGCGGGGGAUAACACUUGGAAACAGGUGCUAAUACCGCAUAAUUCCAUUUACCGCAUGGUAGAUGGAUGAAAGGCGCUUUUGCGUCACUGAUGGAUGGACCCGCGGUGCAUUAGCUAGUUGGUGGGGUAACGGCCUACCAAGGCUGCGAUGCAUAGCCGACCUGAGAGGGUGAUCGGCCACACUGGGACUGAGACACGGCCCAGACUCCUACGGGAGGCAGCAGUAGGGAAUCUUCGGCAAUGGACACAAGUCUGACCGAGCAACGCCGCGUGAGUGAAGAAGGGUUUCGGAUCGUAAAACUCUGUUGUUAGAGUAGAACAAGGAUGAGAGUGGAAAGUUCAUCCCUUGACGGUAUCUAACCAGAAAGCCACGGCUAACUACGUG
RNAcentral lists this ribosomal RNA (507 nucleotides) under uncultured bacterium. Its description in RNAcentral is "partial 16S ribosomal RNA". It matches the Rfam family "Bacterial small subunit ribosomal RNA", at positions 28 to 507 of the family's 1533-position model. The record is from RNAcentral.